RNAcentral lists this ribosomal RNA (253 nucleotides) under uncultured bacterium. RNAcentral describes it as "partial 16S ribosomal RNA". It matches the Rfam family "Bacterial small subunit ribosomal RNA", at positions 524 to 776 of the family's 1533-position model. The record is from RNAcentral.
UACGGAGGGUGCAAGCGUUAUCCGGAUUUACUGGGUUUAAAGGGUGUGUAGGCGGACAAUUAAGUCCGUGGUGAAAUCUCCAGGCUCAACCCGGAAACUGCCAUGGAUACUAUUUGUCUUGAAUAUUGUUGAGGUGGGCGGAACGGGUCAUGUAGCGGUGAAAUGCAUAGAUAUGACCCGGAACACCGAUUGCGAAGGCAGCCCACUAAGCAAUGAUUGACGCUGAGGCACGAAAGCGUGGGGAUCAAACAGG